ACUCGAGUGGCGAACGGGUGAGUAACACGUGGGUAAUCUGCCCUGCACUUCGGGAUAAGCCUGGGAAACUGGGUCUAAUACCGGAUAUGACCACGAAGCGCAUGCCUUGUGGUGGAAAGCUUUUGCGGUGUGGGAUGGGCCCGCGGCCUAUCAGCUUGUUGGUGGGGUGACGGCCUACCAAGGCGACGACGGGUAGCCGGCCUGAGAGGGUGUCCGGCCACACUGGGACUGAGAUACGGCCCAGACUCCUACGGGAGGCAGCAGUGGGGAAUAUUGCACAAUGGGCGCAAGCCUGAUGCAGCGACGCCGCGUGGGGGAUGACGGCCUUCGGGUUGUAAACCUCUUUCAGCAGGGACGAAGCGCAAGUGACGGUACCUGCAGAAGAAGCACCGGCCAACUACGUGCCAGCAGCCGCGGUAAUACGUAGGGUGCGAGCGUUGUCCGGAAUUACUGGGCGUAAAGAGCUCGUAGGUGGUUUGUCGCGUUGUUCGUGAAAACCGGGGGCUUAACUCUCGGCUUGCGGGCGAUACGGGCAAACUGGAGUACUGCAGGGGAGACUGGAAUUCCUGGUGUAGCGGUGGAAUGCGCAGAUAUCAGAGGAACACCGGUGGCGAACGCGGGUCUCUGGGCAGUAACUGACGCUGAGAGCGAAAGCGUGGGGAGCGAACAGGAUUAGAUACCCUGGUAGUCCACGCCGUAACGGUGGGUACUAGGUGUGGGUUUCCUUCCUUGGAUCCGUGCCGUAGCUAACGCAUUAGUACCCGCUGGGGAGUACGGUCGCAGGCUAAACUCAAGAUGACGGG
This 803-nucleotide ribosomal RNA is filed under the name uncultured Mycobacterium sp. RNAcentral's name for it is "bacterial SSU rRNA". It matches the Rfam family "Bacterial small subunit ribosomal RNA", at positions 89 to 917 of the family's 1533-position model. The record is from RNAcentral. Lineage: Bacteria; Bacillati; Actinomycetota; Actinomycetes; Mycobacteriales; Mycobacteriaceae.